UACGGAGGGUGCGAGCGUUGUCCGGAAUCACUGGGCGUAAAGGGCGCGUAGGUGGCGCGGGAAGUCAACGGUGAAAGUUCAGGGCUCAACCCUGAAUCGGCCGUCGAUACUCCCGGGCUUGAGCACUGUAGAGGCAGAUGGAAUUCCGGGUGUAGCGGUGGAAUGCGUAGAGAUCCGGAAGAACACCGGUGGCGAAGGCGGCUUCCUGGACCGACACUGACGCUGAGGCGCGAAAGCUAGGGGAGCAAACGGG
RNAcentral lists this ribosomal RNA (253 nucleotides) under uncultured bacterium. RNAcentral describes it as "partial 16S ribosomal RNA". It matches the Rfam family "Bacterial small subunit ribosomal RNA", at positions 524 to 776 of the family's 1533-position model. The record is from RNAcentral.